RNAcentral lists this ribosomal RNA (460 nucleotides) under uncultured Sphingobacteriales bacterium. RNAcentral's name for it is "bacterial SSU rRNA". It matches the Rfam family "Bacterial small subunit ribosomal RNA", at positions 920 to 1382 of the family's 1533-position model. Lineage: Bacteria; Pseudomonadati; Bacteroidota; Sphingobacteriia; Sphingobacteriales. The record is from RNAcentral.
CCCGCACAAGCGGUGGAGCAUGUGGUUUAAUUCGAUGAUACGCGAGGAACCUUACCUGGGCUCAAAUGUAUGUUGACGUAUUCUGAAAGGGAUACUUCUUCGGACAAUAUACAAGGUGCUGCAUGGUUGUCGUCAGCUCGUGCCGUGAGGUGUCGGGUUAAGUCCCAUAACGAGCGCAACCCCUAUCAUUAGUUGCCAUCAGGUCAAGCUGGGGACUCUAAUGAAACUGCCUACGCAAGUAGUGAGGAAGGUGGGGAUGACGUCAAAUCAGCACGGCCCUUACGUCCAGGGCUACACACGUGCUACAAUGGCCGGUACAAAGGGCAGCUACCUGGUGACAGGAUGCUAAUCUCAAAAGCCGGUCUCAGUUCGGAUUGCAGUCUGCAACUCGACUGCAUGAAGUUGGAAUCGCUAGUAAUCGUGGAUCAGCCAAGCCGCGGUGAAUACGUUCCCGGGCCUU